RNAcentral lists this ribosomal RNA (947 nucleotides) under Panthera onca (jaguar). RNAcentral describes it as "partial 16S ribosomal RNA". The stretch from base 1 to 845 matches the Rfam family "Bacterial large subunit ribosomal RNA", at positions 2004 to 2925 of the family's 2925-position model. Lineage: Eukaryota; Metazoa; Chordata; Mammalia; Carnivora; Felidae. The record is from RNAcentral.
UCGAGGGCUUUACUGUCUCUUACUUCCAAUCCGUGAAAUUGACCUUCCCGUGAAGAGGCGGGAAUAUGACAAUAAGACGAGAAGACCCUAUGGAGCUUUAAUUAACCGACCCAAAGAGAUCUUGAUAAUCAACCGACAGGGAUAACAUACCUCUACCAUGGGCGGACAAUUUAGGUGGGGUGACCUCGGAGAAUAAAACAACCUCCGAGUGAUUUUCGAGAGCUUUACUGUCUCUUGAUAUUGGUGUUUGGUGCGGUUUGUGUAGGAUAGGUGGGAGACUGGGAAGCCUUCACGCUAGUGGGUCGAGAGCUUUACUGUCUCUUACUUCYWAUCCGUGAAAUUGACCUUCCCGUGAAGAGGCGGGAAUUAUUGACAAUAAGACGAGAAGACCCUAUGGAGCUUUAAUUAACCGACCCAAAGAGAUCUUGAUAAUCAACCGACAGGGAUAACAUACCUCUACCAUGGGCCGACAAUUUAGGUUGGGGUGACCUCGGAGAAUAAAACAACCUCCGAGUGAUUUAAAUCUAGACUAACUAGUCGAAAGUACUACAUCACUUAUUGAUCCAAAAACUUGAUCAACGGAACAAGUUACCCUAGGGAUAACAGCGCAAGKCCUAUUUUAGAGUCCAUAUCGAAAAUAGGAUGGCUGGUGGAAGCGGUGUCGCUAAACGGAUAAAAGGUACCCCGGGGAUAACAGGCUUAUCUUGCCCAAGAGUCCAUAUCGACAAUAGGAAUCCUCGGAGGUUGUUUUAUUCUCCGAGGUCACCCCAACCUAAAUUGUCGGCCCAUGGUAGAGGUAUGUUAUCCCUGUCGGUUGAUUAUCAAGAUCUCUUUGGGUCGGUUAAUUAAAGCUCCAUAGGGUCUUCUCGUCUUAUUGUCAUAUUCCCGCCUCUUCACAGGAAGGUCAAUUUCACGGAUAUGAAGUAAGAGACAGUAAAGCCCCUCGA